This is a non-coding RNA of Dipodomys ordii (Ord's kangaroo rat), 65 nucleotides long. The record is from Rfam. Lineage: Eukaryota; Metazoa; Chordata; Mammalia; Rodentia; Heteromyidae.
GGUGGCUCAGUGGUAGAGCGCUUGCCUCGCAUGCACGAGGCCCUGGGUUCGAUUCCUCAGCACCA